Long non-coding RNA from Pantherophis guttatus, 296 nucleotides. RefSeq lists it as uncharacterized. The record is from RefSeq and is a predicted model, not a curated record. NCBI's taxonomy places the organism in Eukaryota, Metazoa, Chordata, Lepidosauria, Squamata, Colubridae.
CAGUACUCGCAAGAUACAAAAAUGGAAGCAGCCACACUGGGCAUUGUGUGUGUGAGGAUUCCUACUAUAUACAGUAGCAGCAGAUUUGUUCUUGAUAAGAAGCCUGAAAGAUUCCAGACUGGUCCUUUAUCUUGCUUUAGUUCCAGUUCUUUUUCUUCAACUCUGGUGCCUCUUGGUACUGCGAUAUGAAUAAAUUGUAUGCUUCAGUUUUCGACAACUGUGAUAUCUGGCGUGUUGUGUUCCAAAUGAUGAUCCGUCUGUAUUCGAAAGUCCCACAAGAUCUUCACCUUCUCAUU